UACGAAGGUCCCGAGCGUUGUUCGGAAUCACUGGGCGUAAAGGGAGCGUAGGCGGCGCGGUAAGUCGGAUGUGAAAUCCCGGGGCUCAACCCCGGAACUGCAUCUGAUACUGCCGUGCUAGAGUAAUGGAGAGGUAGCUGGAAUUAUCGGUGUAGCAGUGAAAUGCGUAGAUAUCGAUAGGAACACUCGUGGCGAAAGCGAGCUACUGGACAUUUACUGACGCUGAGGCUCGAAGGCUAGGGGAGCGAAAGGGAUUAGAUACCCCUGUAGUCCUAGCAGUAAACGGUGCACGCUUGGUGUGAGGGGAAUCGACCCCCCUUGUGCCGGAGCUAACGCGUUAAGCGUGCCGCCUGGGAAGUACGGUCGCAAGACUA
Molecule: ribosomal RNA, 374 nt
Filed under: uncultured prokaryote
Description: bacterial SSU rRNA
Rfam family: Bacterial small subunit ribosomal RNA
Source: RNAcentral